ACGGAAGGCAGCAGUGGGGAAUAUUGCACAAUGGGGGGAACCCUGAUGCAGCGACGCCGCGUGAGUGAAGAAGUAUUUCGGUAUGUAAAGCUCUAUCAGCAGGGAAGAAAAUGACGGUACCUGACUAAGAAGCCCCGGCUAACUACGUGCCAGCAGCCGCGGUAAUACGUAGGGGGCAAGCGUUAUCCGGAUUUACUGGGUGUAAAGGGAGCGUAGACGGUCUGGCAAGUCUGAUGUGAAAGGCAGGGGCUCAACUCCUGGACUGCAUUGGAAACUGUCAGUCUUGAGUGUCGGAGAGGUAAGCGGAAUUCCUAGUGUAGCGGUGAAAUGCGUAGAUAUUAGGAGGAACAUCAGUGGCGAAGGCGGCUUACUGGGCUUUAACUGACGCUGAGGCUCGAAAGCGUGGGGAGCAAACAGGAUUAGAUACCCUGGUA
RNAcentral lists this ribosomal RNA (434 nucleotides) under uncultured Lachnospiraceae bacterium. RNAcentral describes it as "partial 16S ribosomal RNA". It matches the Rfam family "Bacterial small subunit ribosomal RNA", at positions 341 to 792 of the family's 1533-position model. The record is from RNAcentral. Lineage: Bacteria; Bacillati; Bacillota; Clostridia; Lachnospirales; Lachnospiraceae.